GCGGACGUAGCUCAACUGGAUAGAGCACCUGACUACGGAUCAGACGGUUCCGGGUUCGAAUCCUGGCGUCCGCACCA
RNAcentral lists this transfer RNA (77 nucleotides) under Gemmatimonadota bacterium. RNAcentral describes it as "Gemmatimonadetes bacterium tRNA-Arg". It matches the Rfam family "tRNA". From Rfam's summary of the family: Transfer RNA (tRNA) molecules are approximately 80 nucleotides in length. Their secondary structure includes four short double-helical elements and three loops (D, anti-codon, and T loops). Lineage: Bacteria; Pseudomonadati; Gemmatimonadota. The record is from RNAcentral. RNAcentral also lists the same sequence under 1 other name.